AUACGUAGGGUGCGAGCGUUAAUCGGAAUUACUGGGCGUAAAGCGUGCGCAGGCGGCUUUAUAAGCCAGAUGUGAAAUCCCCGGGCUCAACCUGGGAACUGCAUUUGGAACUGUAAGGCUAGAGUACGGCAGAGGGGGGUAGAGUUCCACGUGUAGCAGUGAAAUGCGUAGAUAUGUGGAGGAAUACCGAUGGCGAAGGCAGCCCCCUGGGUCGAUACUGACGCUCAUGCACGAAAGCGUGGGGAGCAAACAGGAUUAGAAACCCCAGUAGUCC
Molecule: ribosomal RNA, 274 nt
Filed under: uncultured bacterium
Lineage: Bacteria
Description: partial 16S ribosomal RNA
Rfam family: Bacterial small subunit ribosomal RNA
Source: RNAcentral